Molecule: long non-coding RNA, 1468 nt
Filed under: Sarcophilus harrisii (Tasmanian devil)
Lineage: Eukaryota; Metazoa; Chordata; Mammalia; Dasyuromorphia; Dasyuridae
Description: lncRNA (ENSSHAG00000030214.1)
Source: RNAcentral
GUAGCCCCCACCAACCGACAACCGCAGGGGAGGGGGUGCAGGGCCCCUCUAAGAGGAGCUGCGCACCACCAUCCCCCCCACCCUCCUAGGGAAAGGGGAGCAAAGAGGCCCAGGUUCUCUCCCAGUUGGCGAAGCUUCGCUCUGGGCUCCUUGGGCUAACCGGGCUCCGCCGCCUCUUUGUGUCUGUGGGUGUUUGGGGGAACUGAUCCGGCAUAAUAGAUCAGAAAUUGACGUUUGGUGGUGAUAGAGGUCUAAAGCCGCAUAGAUCUUUAAAGACGAUCCAGUCCAACCGCCUUUUUAUAGAGUUAGGAGACGGAGGCUUAGGGACACACAGUGACUCGUUCAAGUUCAGGCAGAAGCAUGCUUUGAAUGCAGAUCUUUUGAUUACAAACCGGCAGCUUUUGUCCUUUACUCAUGGCCGCAGAUUUUGACGGAAGGAAAAACUCUUCGACAAUGUUUGAAGGAAGGCAACUGUAAAGCUUUGAAAUACUCAUUUUUUGAAUGCAAAAGGUCAAUGGUGAGAAAUUAAUAAAGAAAUUAAGAUUAAGCUUCAGGUUGCCCAGCCACUUGGGAAUUUAAACCUAGAAAAUCUCACUUGAAACUGUUGAUGGAAAGAAUCAUACCACAAUGUCCAUUCUAGUCAUUAAAAUCUACUUUUAAUCCCAAACUAAUUUCCUCUCGCUCAAUAUGUUACAGGUCUUUUCCUUUUCAGUUUUGGUACAUUAUCAAACACAUUCAAUUCUGUUAUAAUGUGUGUUUCAAAAAUACAGAUUUGUAUCAGUGUGAUGCACAUAUUGGGGGAUAUUUUUAGAAUAAAGUAAAUUUAAAGUUGGCUUUUGAGUGAUUCCUUGAGAAAUAGCAAAAGAUCUCAAAAUCGCAUCACUCACAAUAAUUUACAAAUUACACUUCUUCUGACAUCCACUUUAAUGAAUAAAGUUAAGGUCUUUGUUUAGGUAAAAUGUAUUUUUUGGUACAAUUUGGAACUGUAAACAGAGAAGGGCUAGUCCACACUGCUGUUAUCCUUGCCUCACCCCUUUUUGCCUUGACCUCCUGCUCCCUAGGCCCGGCCCCAGAGUUGCAGCCUGUCCAACUUGUGCAAUCUGAGGCAUAGACCAUACAAUAGUAACUCAAGGCCAAAUGCAUGGCUACUAUUUACUUAUUAUUUAUGUUAUUAUUAUUUAUUUUGUACUAUUUAACCAUUUGACAUGUAUUUUAAAAUGCGAUUUAUGUUUCACUUAAGUUUUUAAACCUUGUGUCCCAACCCCAUUUCCCUCAGAAGAUAUGUGGUUUUUAUUGUGCAAUUUUGCAUAUUGAAGUAGUUUUGGGGAAUAUGUGUUGUGUUACAGAAGAAUUUACAUCAACAAAUUUUAAUUUGCUUAAAUGUAAUCUUUAUUAUAGCUUGUUUUCUAAAGUUUGUUAAAUUUAACAAUGGCAUUAAUGCUAUUCUAUUCAUUUGUUUACUCUUUUG